UACAGAGGUGGCAAGCGUUGUUCGGAAUUACUGGGCGUAAAGGGCGCGUAGGCGGCUCUCUAAGUCCCGUGUGAAAGCCCUCGGCUUAACCGAGGAACUGCACGAGAAACUGGAGAGCUUGAGUUCGGGAGAGGGAAGCGGAAUUCCGGGUGUAGCGGUGAAAUGCGUAGAUAUCCGGAGGAACACCAGUGGCGAAGGCGGCUUCCUGGCCUGUUCUUGACGCUGAGGCGCGAAAGCUAGGGGGGCAAACGGG
This 253-nucleotide ribosomal RNA is filed under the name uncultured bacterium. Its description in RNAcentral is "partial 16S ribosomal RNA". It matches the Rfam family "Bacterial small subunit ribosomal RNA", at positions 524 to 776 of the family's 1533-position model. The record is from RNAcentral.